RNAcentral lists this long non-coding RNA (1526 nucleotides) under Capsicum annuum. RNAcentral's name for it is "long non-coding RNA (CANN_LNC019707)". The record is from RNAcentral. Lineage: Eukaryota; Viridiplantae; Streptophyta; Magnoliopsida; Solanales; Solanaceae.
GUAAUUAGACAUGAUAUGAUGCAUUUUAACUUAUCUGAGACAAGGUGGAAGUACCUUCCAUGGUAGACAAGAUUAGGGAAGCGAGACUGAGAUGAUUUGGAUAUGUGAAGAGGAGAUGUGCACAUGUCCCAAUGAGGAAGUGUGAAAGGUUGGCUAUGGUGGGUUUAAGAAGAGGUAGAGGUAGACCAAAGAAGUAUUAAGGAGAAGUGAUUAGACAUGACAUGACACAACACAUCGUUAGCUCAUUGAGGACAUGAGUGACUAGGCAUGACAUGAUGCAUUUUCAGCUUAUUUGAGACAAAGGUGGGAGUGUCCUUCGUGGUGGAAACCAUGAGGGAAGUGAGACCGAGAUAGUUUGGGUAUGUGAAAGGGACAACAACAACAAUAAAAAACCCAGUGUAUUCCCACAAAGUGGGGUCUGGGGAGGGUAAAAUGUACGCACUCCAUACCGCUACCUCCGAAUAAGUAGAAAGGCUAUUUCCGAUAGACCCUUGGCUCAAGAUAAAGAAUAGUAAACAAGAGCGUAAUGAAACAUGAAGAAGGAUGGAUGGAAUAACAUAAAUAAGGAAUAAGCCAUAAUAAAAUAAAAAUCAGAGCAAUACGAAAUAAGAUAAAUAAGCACAAUAUGAAAUUAGAGAUAAGAAAUAGGACAUCUGAAAUAGGACACCCACCUAGUAGCAACAUACACUCACGGACCAAAGACACCCACCAUACCCGAACCCCCCUGACUAGGGGCUCCUACCUAUGGACACAGUUCUAGGAUUACUAACCCGGCUAUACAUGAGCUCUUCUAACUGAAAGGGAGACGUGCAGAUAUCCCAGUGAGGAAGUGCAUAAGGUUGGCUAUGGUGGGUUUAAGGAGAGGUAUAGAUAGGUUUUAAAAGCAUUGGGGAGAGGUGAUUAGAUAUGAGAUGAAACACCUUUAGUUUAUUGAGGUGCAUGAGGUUGGCUAUGGUGGGAGCAUUGGGGAGUGGUGAUUAGAUAUGAGAUGAAACACCUUUAGUUUAUUGAGGACACGAGUAAUUAGACUUGACAUGAUGCAUCUUCAACUAAGGGAAGCGAGACUGAAAUGGUUCGGGUAUGUGAAAAGGAGACGUGCACAUGUCCCAAUGAGGAAGUGUUAGAGGUUGGCUAUGGUGGGUUUAAGUCUUUAAGAAGAGGUAGAGGUAGACCAAAGAAGUAUUUAGGAGAAGUGAUUAGACAUGAUUUGACACAUCUUACAGCUUACCAAGGAUAUGAACUUAUAUAGGAGGUUAUGGAGGUCGUGAAUUAUGGUAGAAAGUUAGUAAUUAGUCGAGUGUUGUCUCGCUUUCCUGCAGGAUAGACUUGGUGGUAGUUUGGUGCACCAUACCUAUUUCUCCAUUCAUACCAGCAGUAGUAUAUUAUUCUCGUAGUUUCUUGUCCUACGGUUUUUGUUACUCUCCCGUUAUUUUUUGUACUUCGAUAAUUGCAUUAGUUAGCUAUUGUUCAUCCUCUUUACUGCUGUAUUUUCUUUUCAAACUGCUUUGAUGUGCGUUACUUGAGCC